RNAcentral lists this ribosomal RNA (1174 nucleotides) under Enterococcus faecium. RNAcentral describes it as "bacterial SSU rRNA". It matches the Rfam family "Bacterial small subunit ribosomal RNA", at positions 57 to 1205 of the family's 1533-position model. The record is from RNAcentral. Lineage: Bacteria; Bacillati; Bacillota; Bacilli; Lactobacillales; Enterococcaceae.
GCAGUCGAACGCUUCUUUUUCCCCGGAGCUUGCUCCACCGGAAAAAGAAGAGUGGCGAACGGGUGAGUAACACGUGGGUAACCUGCCCAUCAGAAGGGGAUAACACUUGGAAACAGGUGCUAAUACCGUAUAACAAUCAAAACCGCAUGGUUUUGAUUUGAAAGGCGCUUUCGGGUGUCGCUGAUGGAUGGACCCGCGGUGCAUUAGCUAGUUGGUGAGGUAACGGCUCACCAAGGCCACGAUGCAUAGCCGACCUGAGAGGGUGAUCGGCCACAUUGGGACUGAGACACGGCCCAAACUCCUACGGGAGGCAGCAGUAGGGAAUCUUCGGCAAUGGACGAAAGUCUGACCGAGCAACGCCGCGUGAGUGAAGAAGGUUUUCGGAUCGUAAAACUCUGUUGUUAGAGAAGAACAAGGAUGAGAGUAACUGUUCAUCCCUUGACGGUAUCUAACCAGAAAGCCACGGCUAACUACGUGCCAGCAGCCGCGGUAAUACGUAGGUGGCAAGCGUUGUCCGGAUUUAUUGGGCGUAAAGCGAGCGCAGGCGGUUUCUUAAGUCUGAUGUGAAAGCCCCCGGCUCAACCGGGGAGGGUCAUUGGAAACUGGGAGACUUGAGUGCAGAAGAGGAGAGUGGAAUUCCAUGUGUAGCGGUGAAAUGCGUAGAUAUAUGGAGGAACACCAGUGGCGAAGGCGGCUCUCUGGUCUGUAACUGACGCUGAGGCUCGAAAGCGUGGGGAGCAAACAGGAUUAGAUACCCUGGUAGUCCACGCCGUAAACGAUGAGUGCUAAGUGUUGGAGGGUUUCCGCCCUUCAGUGCUGCAGCUAACGCAUUAAGCACUCCGCCUGGGGAGUACGACCGCAAGGUUGAAACUCAAAGGAAUUGACGGGGGCCCGCACAAGCGGUGGAGCAUGUGGUUUAAUUCGAAGCAACGCGAAGAACCUUACCAGGUCUUGACAUCCUUUGACCACUCUAGAGAUAGAGCUUCCCCUUCGGGGGCAAAGUGACAGGUGGUGCAUGGUUGUCGUCAGCUCGUGUCGUGAGAUGUUGGGUUAAGUCCCGCAACGAGCGCAACCCUUAUUGUUAGUUGCCAUCAUUCAGUUGGCCACUCUACCAAGACUGCCGGUGACAAACCGGAGGAAGGUGGGGAUGACGUCAAAUCAUCAUGCCCCUUAU